Molecule: unclassified non-coding RNA, 475 nt
Filed under: Hevea brasiliensis (rubber tree)
Lineage: Eukaryota; Viridiplantae; Streptophyta; Magnoliopsida; Malpighiales; Euphorbiaceae
Source: RNAcentral
GGGUCAUCUUCCUCUCCAAAUAUAUCUGCAAUGAUUCUUUUUCUCUGAUUAUCUGGCACAAAUGCUUUAUAGGUUUGGCAGUCCAAAUGCCUAUGCACGUCAAUUGCCUCUUGCACUGAUGAGUUACAUUUGGAUCGAGCCUGACGCCGCAAUUCACUCAAACGCACUAUUCUUCCCUGCCAAUCCUCACUUGAAUAUCUUUGUGAAUGAUUUUUGGACCGAGCUUGGUGUCGAAUUUGAGUCAAUCGGAUUCUCCUACCUUGCAAAUGCCCAACUGUUGGCUCCCAAAUCCUCUGUCGCAGCAAUAAAUUGCUUUUUGACCUAGCUUGACAUCGAAUUUGACUCAAGCGCGGAGUUCUUCCUUUCCAGUUGAAUCUAUCCCCAUCAUUUCUCACAUGAUCAGUUACAGGCAUUCCUUCAACUUGUUUUCCAGGAGACUUAGGAUCUGUAACUCUGACAUGGCUUACAAUUUCUG